CAUGAAGCUGGAAUCGCUAGUAAUCGCGGAUCAGAAUGCCGCGGUGAAUACGUUCCCGGGUCUUGUACACACCGCCCGUCACACCAUGGGAGUCGGAAAUGCCCGAAGUCUGUGACCCAACCGAAAGGAGGGAGCAGCCGAAGGCAGGUCGGAUGACUGGGGUGAAGUCGUAACAAGGUAGC
RNAcentral lists this ribosomal RNA (182 nucleotides) under uncultured bacterium. Its description in RNAcentral is "partial 16S ribosomal RNA". It matches the Rfam family "Bacterial small subunit ribosomal RNA", at positions 1319 to 1500 of the family's 1533-position model. The record is from RNAcentral.